GACAGCAGCCGCCGCGGUAAUACGGAGGAUCCAAGCGUUAUCCGGAAUCAUUGGGUUUAAAGGGUCCGUAGGCGGUCUUGUAAGUCAGUGGUGAAAGCCCAUCGCUCAACGGUGGAACGGCCAUUGAUACUGCAGGACUUGAAUUAUUGGGAAGUAACUAGAAUAUGUAGUGUAGCGGUGAAAUGCUUAGAGAUUACAUGGAAUACCAAUUGCGAAGGCAGGUUACUACCAAUUGAUUGACGCUGAUGGACGAAAGCGUGGGUAGCGAACAGGAUUAGAUACCCGGGUAGUCCCUGUCUCUUAUAC
RNAcentral lists this ribosomal RNA (306 nucleotides) under uncultured bacterium. RNAcentral describes it as "partial 16S ribosomal RNA". It matches the Rfam family "Bacterial small subunit ribosomal RNA", at positions 507 to 807 of the family's 1533-position model. The record is from RNAcentral.